UACGUAGGGGGCAAGCGUUGUCCGGAAUCAUUGGGCGUAAAGAGCGUGUAGGCGGCUCGGUAAGUCCGCUCUGAAAGCCCGGGGCUCAACCCCGGGAGGCGGGCGGAUACUGUCGGGCUAGAGUCCGGAAGAGGCUAGUGGAAUUCCUGGUGUAGCGGUGAAAUGCGCAGAUAUCAGGAGGAACACCAAUGGCGAAGGCAGCUCGCUGGGACGGUACUGACGCUGAGACGCGAAAGCGUGGGGAGCAAACAGG
This 253-nucleotide ribosomal RNA is filed under the name uncultured bacterium. RNAcentral's name for it is "partial 16S ribosomal RNA". It matches the Rfam family "Bacterial small subunit ribosomal RNA", at positions 524 to 776 of the family's 1533-position model. The record is from RNAcentral.